Mandrillus leucophaeus (drill) is the source of this 937-nucleotide RNA transcript. It is a transcript of the gene named 40S ribosomal protein SA-like, with no coding region annotated. The record is from RefSeq and is a predicted model, not a curated record. NCBI's taxonomy places the organism in Eukaryota, Metazoa, Chordata, Mammalia, Primates, Cercopithecidae. The transcript has 2 exons.
AUGGUGUAUUAUACUAAACCUCUCAUGAACAGCAGCCAUCGACCAGGUCCUCCCAGAAAGGAGAGCAAUGAGGGUCCAGGGAUCUCCAUUAGCCAGGAAGCAAGAAAUGGCCAGAGAGGAAGGGAAGGAGUGCUGUGCUGCAGCCAGACAGCCGGAGCUCAUGAACACCAAGUAUCUGUUAAGACUGGCCCCGGGGAAGUCCAGCCUCCGGUCCAGAGCCGCUGGAUUUUGUUUGCUGCUGCCACUGAAGCCACUCCAAUUGCUGGCCUCUUCACUCCUGGAAACUUCACUACCCAAAUCCAGGCAACCUUCCAGGAGCCACAGCUUCUUGUGGCUACUGACCCCAGGGCUGACCACCAGCCUCUCACGGAGGCAUCUUAUGUUAACCUACCUGCCAUUGCUCUGUAACACAGACUCUCCUCUGCGCUAUGUGGACAUUGCCAUCCCAUGCAACAGCAAGGGAGCUCACUCAGUGGGUUUGAUGUGGUGGACACCAGCUCGGGAAGUUCUGUGCAUGCGUGGCACCAUUUCCAGUGAACACUUAUGGGAGGUCAUGCCUGAUCUCUACUUCUACAGAGAUCCUGAAGAGAUUGAAAAAGAAGAGCAGGCUGCUGCUGAAAAGGCUCUGACCAAGGAGGAAUUUCAGGGUGAAUGGACUGCUUCAGCUCCCGAGUUCACUGCUACUCAGUCCGAGGUUGUAAACUGUUCUGAAGGUGUGCAGGUGCCCUCUGUGACUAUUCAGCAGUUCCCUACUGAAGACUGGAGCACUCGGCCUGCCAUGGAAGACUGAUCUGCAGCUCCCACUGCUCACUCAGGCCACUGAAUGAGAAGGAGCAACCACUGAAUGGUCUUAAGCUGUUCUUGCAUGGGCUCGUAAGCAACAUGGGCUCUUAAGCAACACGGAAAUUAAAUUAAUGGGAAAUAAACAUGAGUUUCU